Molecule: unclassified non-coding RNA, 274 nt
Filed under: rhizosphere metagenome
Description: partial ribosomal RNA internal transcribed spacer region
Source: RNAcentral
GAAAUAAACCUGAUGAGUUGCUGCUGGUUCUCUAGGGAACAUGUGCACACUUGUCAUUUUUAUAUUUCCACCUGUGCACUUUUUGUAGACUUGGAUAUCUUUCUGAAUGCUUUUUUGUAGCAUGUCAGGUUUGAGGAUUGACUUUAUUGUCUGUCUUUACAUUUCCAGGUCUAUGUUCCUUCAAUAUACCCCUAAUGUAUGUUAUAGAAUGUAGUAAGUGGGCCUUUGUGCCUAUAAACCUUAUACAACUUUCAGCAACGGAUCUCUUGGCUCU